Molecule: long non-coding RNA, 3149 nt
Filed under: Sus scrofa (pig)
Lineage: Eukaryota; Metazoa; Chordata; Mammalia; Artiodactyla; Suidae
Description: lncRNA (ENSSSCG00000058534.1)
Source: RNAcentral
CCCAGCAACUUCCACAUGCCUUGGGCAUAGCCAAAAACCAAAAUGAGGUAAGGCAAAAAAUGGGGGGUAGGAAUGGAAGAUGUUGUGCCAGACAGAAUAGAGUAUGCAAAUGAAAGUGUGAUGGCUUCAGGAAACUGAAAGGAGGCCUUUUGGGGCCUUGUAAGUCGGGAUAGGAAUUUUGGAACUUGAUUUAAGGAUAAUAGGAAAAGGAAGAAAAAUUGAAAGUUUCUAUUUUCCUCCUUCCUCCCAUCUUUCCAUUUUUGCUUUUAUUCCUUCUUUCUAAUACUUAUACAGUGCUUACUACAUGCCAGGCCCUGUUCUAAAUAAUGAUAUCUGUAUCUACAUGAUAGAUUCAUGUGUGUAUAUUCAUUUAAUCCUAAUAAUUACCCUGUGUAGUAGACCGUUGUAGCCGUUGAGAAAUCAAGUCAAUGCAGUGGAAUGGAGAAAGGUAGGUGUGUUCAAGAGUUAUUUAAGUUAGUCAUUAGGGGAAAUGCACAUCAAAACCACAAUGGGAUAACAUUUCAUAACCACUAAGUUAGCCAUAAUUAAAAAAAAAAAAAAAAGAAAAGAAAAUAGCAAGGGUUGGUGAGGAUGUGGGGCAAUUGGAACCCUUGUGCACUUGCUAGUGGGAAGGUGAAAAGGAGCAGCUGCUGUGGAAAUAGUUCAGUGUUUACUCAACAAGUUUAACAGAUUUACCACAUUAGCUAGCAAUUCUACUCCUAAACAUAUACUCAAAACUGAGAACAGGUAUUCAGACAAGUUUGUACACAAAAGCCCAUAGCAGCACCAUUCACAAUAGCCACAAGGUAGAAACAACCCAAAUGUUCAUUAAUGGAUGAGUGGAUAAGUAAAAUGCAUUGUGCCCAUACUGUGGACUAUUAGUCAUCCCCGGGCUGCAGCAUGAAUGAAACUUGAAAUCAGGAUGAUGAGUGAAAGAAGGCAGACACAAAAGGUCACAUGUUGUGUGGUUCCAUUUUUACGAAACGUCCAGAAUGAGGAAAUUCAUAGAAACAGAAAACAGACUAGUGAUUGCCAGGAGCUACAGGGAGGAUAGAGGGAGGAGUGGCUGCUUAAUGGUUAAGAGGUUUUCUUUGGGGCUGAUGAAAAUGUAACUAAAGAGAGGUGAUAGGAGUCCCCGUUGUGGCUCUGCAGUUAACAAAGUCGACUAGUAUCCCUGAGGAUGCAGAUUUGAUCCUCAGCCUUGCUCAGUGGGUUAAGAAUCCGGCAUGGUGAGCCAUGGUAUAGGCUGCAGAUGUGGUUUGGAUCUGGCGUUGCUAUGGCUGUGGCGUAGGUCAGCGGCUAUAGCUCCAAUGGGACCCCUCGCCUGGGAACUUCCAUAUGCCACAGGUGCUGCCCUAAAAAGACAAAAAUAAAUAAAUAAAUAAAUAAAAAUAGAGGUGAUAGUUGUACAACAUUUUAAAUAUACUAAAUGCUAAUGGAUUGCGUGCCUUUUUUUUUUUUUUUUUUUUUUUUGGGUCUUUUUGCCUUUUCUAGGGCCGCUCCUGCAGCAUAGGGAGAUUCCCAGGCUAGGGGUUUAAUCGGAGCUGUAGCCUCUGGCCUACGUCAGAGCCACAGCAAUGCAGGAUCCGAGCCGCGUUUGCAACCUACACCACAGCUCACGGCAUCGCCAGAUCCUUAACCCACUAAGCGGGGCCAGGGAUUGAACCCGAAACCUCAUGGUUCCUAGUCGGAUUUGUUAACCACUGAGCCGCAAUGGGAACUCCUGAUUGUAUGCUUUUAAAUGGUAAUUUUUGUUGUAUGAAUUUUAUCUCGGGGGGAAAAAAAGUCUUUAGUAAGAGGUAGAGUUAAUGGAUGGCUCUUGGUGACUGAUGGGUGGCAGGGAGAUGGAGAAGUACAGGAAGGAGUCAAGAAGGACAUCCAGCCAGGUGACUUGAACAAAUGGGAGAGUGACUACAUUUACUGAGUUGGGGAAACAUGAAGGAGUAGAUAUCUAGGAGGUGACAAAUCUCCAUUUCAGAUAUGACGAGUGAAAAAGUGUUGAGACAUCCAAAUCUAGAGCUCAGAAGAAAAGUCUAAGACAAAGAUAUUUGGGAGUCAUCAACGUAGUACCGUAAAUUAACACUAAAGAGUGAGUGAAGGAGUUCCCUUCAUAGGCUCAGCAGAAAUGAACUGACUGGUAUACAUGAGGAUGGGGGUUCAAUCCCUGGCCUGGCUCAGUGGCUCAAGAACUUGGAGUUGCUGUGUACUGUGGUGUAGGUCACCGAUGUGGCUCAGAUCCCACAUUGCUGUGGCUGUGGUAUAGGCCAGCAGCUGUAGCUCCGAUUCAACCCCUGGCCUGGGAUCAAACCCAUAACCUCAUGGUUACUAGUCAAAUUCAUUUCCACUGCACCACAAUGGGAACUCUGGGAACUCCUAAUAAAUAAUAUUUAAAUGAAUAAAAAUAAGAAGGCAGUCCCAUUGAAGAUCAGUGGGUUAAGAACCUGACUAGUAUCUGUGAGGACGAAGGUUCUAUUCCUGGUGUCGCUCAGUGGGUUAAGGAACCAGCAUUGCUGCAAGCUGCAGCAUAAGUAGCAGAUGCACCUUAGAUCUGGUGCUGCCAUGGCUAUGGUUUAGGCCAGCAGCUGCAGCUCCAAUUUGAUCCCUAGCCUGGGAAUUUCCAUAUGUUGCAGGUGCAGCCAUAAAAAGAAAAACAAUAAUAAUAAUAAUAAUAAAAUGGCUAUCAAGCCAUGAAAAGACAUGGAGAAAAUUUAAAUGCAUAUUACUAUGUGAAAAAAACCAAUCUGAGAAAUCUACCUACUGUAUGAUUCUAACUACAUGGCAUUAAGGAAAUGGCAAAACCAUGGAGACAAUAAAAAGAUCAGUGGUUGUAGAAGAGGUUUAUGAAUAGGCAGAGCAUAGAUUUUUUCUUAGGGCAGAGAAAAUAUUCUGAAUGAUAUUUUAAUGAUAGGGAGACAUCAUUAAAUAUUUCCAAACCCGGAGUUCCCAUCAUGGCUCAGUGGUUAACAAAUCCGACUAGGAAUCAUGAGGCUGUAGGUUUGAUCCCUGGCCUUGCUUAGUGGGUUAAAGAUCCAGCAUUGCCGUGAGCUGUGGUGUAGGUCGCAGACGUGGCUUGAAUCCCAUGUUGCUCUGGCUGUGGCGUAGGUCGGUGGCUGCAGCUCCAAGUCGACCCCUAGCCUGGGAACCUCCAU